RNAcentral lists this ribosomal RNA (466 nucleotides) under uncultured bacterium. RNAcentral describes it as "bacterial SSU rRNA". It matches the Rfam family "Bacterial small subunit ribosomal RNA", at positions 385 to 842 of the family's 1533-position model. The record is from RNAcentral.
GAUGGAGCAACGCCGCGUGAGUGAAGAAGGUUUUCGGAUCGUAAAGCUCUGUUGUUGGUGAAGAAGGAUAGAGGUAGUAACUGGCCCCUAUUUGACGGUAAUCAACCAGAAAGUCACGGCUAACUACGUGCCAGCAGCCGCGGUAAUACGUAGGUGGCAAGCGUUGUCCGGAUUUAUUGGGCGUAAAGCGAGCGCAGGCGGAAAGAUAAGUCUGAUGUGAAAGCCCCCGGCUUAACCGAGGAAUUGCAUCGGAAACUGUGUUUCUUGAGUGCAGAAGAGGAGAGUGGAACUCCAUGUGUAGCGGUGGAAUGCGUAGAUAUAUGGAAGAACACCAGUGGCGAAGGCGGCUCUCUGGUCUGUAACUGACGCUGAGGCUCGAAAGCAUGGGUAGAGAACAGGAUUAGAUACCCUGGUAGUCCAUGCCGUAAACGAUGAGUGCUAAGUGUUGGGAGGUUUCCGCCUCUCA